Molecule: ribosomal RNA, 470 nt
Filed under: Bacillus subtilis
Lineage: Bacteria; Bacillati; Bacillota; Bacilli; Caryophanales; Bacillaceae
Description: bacterial SSU rRNA
Rfam family: Bacterial small subunit ribosomal RNA
Source: RNAcentral
AGAGUUUGAUCAUGGCUCAGGACGAACGCUGGCGGCGUGCCUAAUACAUGCAAGUCGAGCGGACAGAUGGGAGCUUGCUCCCUGAUGUUAGCGGCGGACGGGUGAGUAACACGUGGGUAACCUGCCUGUAAGACUGGGAUAACUCCGGGAAACCGGGGCUAAUACCGGAUGGUUGUUUGAACCGCAUGGUUCAAACAUAAAAGGUGGCUUCGGCUACCACUUACAGAUGGACCCGCGGUGCAUUAGCUAGUUGGUGAGGUAACGGCUCACCAAGGCAACGAUGCGUAGCCGACCUGAGAGGGUGAUCGGCCACACUGGGACUGAGACACGGCCCAGACUCCUACGGGAGGCAGCAGUAGGGAAUCUUCCGCAAUGGACGAAAGUCUGACGGAGCAACGCCGCGUGAGUGAUGAAGGUUUCCGGAUCGUAAAGCUCUGUUGUUAGGGAAGAACAAGUACCGUUCGAAUAGG